RNAcentral lists this ribosomal RNA (117 nucleotides) under Pseudoflavonifractor sp. An85. RNAcentral's name for it is "partial 16S ribosomal RNA". It matches the Rfam family "Bacterial small subunit ribosomal RNA", at positions 1426 to 1533 of the family's 1533-position model. Lineage: Bacteria; Bacillati; Bacillota; Clostridia; Eubacteriales; Oscillospiraceae. The record is from RNAcentral.
GUCCGUAGCCUAACCGCAAGGGGGGCGCGGCCGAAGGUGGGUUCGAUAAUUGGGGUGAAGUCGUAACAAGGUAGCCGUAUCGGAAGGUGCGGCUGGAUCACCUCCUUUCUAAGGAGA